ACAUUCGUGUUGCUGCAAAAAAUCAUUGUAUUAUUCUCAUUCUGUUUUUAUAACUUCUCUCAAAGAGAAUCUCAUUCUCUGUUUUGAACCUCCUGAAGCUUGGGUAGAGUAACAGCAUCAUUCAUGUGGCCUCUAUCACUAUGACUAUGUGGACUUAACCCUGAAGCAAGCAAAGCACUGAGUCUCAACCAAAGCCUUCUGUAAGCACUUCUUGACUACUGCCUAUUUUCACUCAAGAUCUUUGGACUCUACAGUCAGCAAAUGCUGAAGCCAGUCAGCACACAGAGAUAUUCCUUCAGCAUACCAUACUGCCAUAGAGUGAUGGAGGAAUGACACCAGUAAUUUGAGACCUCUUCAGUGGCUCUGUGAUACAAAGUUAAAACCAGGUCUGCUGCAGUUUGCGGGAGGUCCACUCCAGACCCUGUUUG
Molecule: long non-coding RNA, 428 nt
Filed under: Homo sapiens (human)
Lineage: Eukaryota; Metazoa; Chordata; Mammalia; Primates; Hominidae
Description: HSALNT0409546
Source: RNAcentral